AUGCUUAUAACGACUCCAGAUUCUCUGUGCGCGCGCGUUUUGAAAGGAAAAUACUUCCCCACAAGGGAGUUUGUGGAUGCGACAAUUCCUAAACAUGCGUCAGCCACCUGGAGGGCAAUAGUUGCAGGGAGGCAGGCCCUGGAAACUGGCUUGGUAAAAAGAAUUGGCGAUGGCUCGUCUGUGUCCACUUGGCAUGAUAGCUGGAUACCAGGUCUCCUCUCGCUGCGUCCGUCAGCACAAAUCGGUAAUGCUAACAUUCCUUAUGUGGCAGAUCUAAUUGAUGCUGAGACGGGUUCAUGGAAGAUUGAAUUGGUAAGACAAAAUUUUACAGCCCCAGAAGCUGACGCUAUUCUUAACAUUCCUUUGAGUGUUGGAGGAGGGGCUGAUUCAUGGGCAUGGGCUGCCGAAAAGUCCGGGAACUACACUGUAAAAUCCGCGUGCCGCUCUCUGGUGACCCAGAACGAGCAUUCAGCUCUAGGGGAAGGGACGGUUACAGAAUCUUCAGAGAAUCAGAAACAGUGUUGGUCCAGACUCUGGAAGCUCAAGGUUGUGCCAAAAGUUCGUGUGUUUUGGUGGCGAGUGCUCCAGAAAAUCCUUCCUGUCGAGAGCACUCUGAAGCACAGGCACAUUACUCAAUUGGCACGUUGCAAAGUCUGCCUUGAUGCAGACGAAGAUUUGUAUCAUGCACUGAUAAAGUGCACACAUGCAAAAAUGUUUUGGAGGGAGGCGAAGGAGUGGCUCAGUAUUAAGCUACCGGAGCUCCACCCAUCCACUUGGUCUAAGGACAUUUUAUGUGACUCCAGAUUCGAGGAAGCUGACCGCGCAAAGAUUAUUACGGUAAUGUGGGCGAUCUGGACGUCUAGGAACAAUGUGACUCAUGACAAACAAAGCUUGAAUCCAGUGGUGUCGAUGCAGAAAACCAGAGAAGCUCUGGAUAGAAUUGCCCAUGGACCAAGCUAA
This 960-nucleotide ribosomal RNA is filed under the name Triticum aestivum (bread wheat). RNAcentral's name for it is "partial small subunit ribosomal RNA". The record is from RNAcentral. Lineage: Eukaryota; Viridiplantae; Streptophyta; Magnoliopsida; Poales; Poaceae.